Molecule: ribosomal RNA, 42 nt
Filed under: Lactarius deliciosus
Lineage: Eukaryota; Fungi; Basidiomycota; Agaricomycetes; Russulales; Russulaceae
Also listed under: 2 other names
Description: partial 28S ribosomal RNA
Source: RNAcentral
UGACCUCAAAUCGGGUGAGACUACCCGCUGAACUUAAGCAUA